GAUGAACGCUGGCGGCGUGCCUAACACAUGCAAGUCGAGCGAACGGACGAGAAGCUUGCUUCUCUGAUGUUAGCGGCGGACGGGGGAGUAACACGUGGAUAACCUACCUAUAAGACUGGGAUAACUUCGGGAAACCGGAGCUAAUACCGGAUAAUAUUUUGAACCGCAUGGUUCAAAAGUGAAAGACGGUCUUGCUGUCACUUAUAGAUGGAUCCGCGCUGCAUUAGCUAGUUGGUAAGGUAACGGCUUACCAAGGCAACGAUGCAUAGCCGACCUGAGAGGGUGAUCGGCCACACUAGAACUGAGACACGGUCCAGACUCCUACGGGAGGCAGCAGUAGGGAAUCUUCCGCAAUGGGCGGAAGCCUGACGGAGCAGCGCCGCGUGAGUGAUGAAGGUCUUCGGAUCGUAAAACUCUGUUAUUAGGGAAGAACAUAUGUGUAAGUAACUGUGCGCAUCUUGACGGUACCUAAACAGAAAGCCACGGCUAACUACGUG
RNAcentral lists this ribosomal RNA (497 nucleotides) under uncultured bacterium. Its description in RNAcentral is "partial 16S ribosomal RNA". It matches the Rfam family "Bacterial small subunit ribosomal RNA", at positions 28 to 507 of the family's 1533-position model. The record is from RNAcentral.